Molecule: long non-coding RNA, 595 nt
Organism: Meriones unguiculatus (Mongolian gerbil)
Lineage: Eukaryota; Metazoa; Chordata; Mammalia; Rodentia; Muridae
Exons: 3
Source: RefSeq, a predicted model, not a curated record
GCGCGGGCCUGACGACUGCUGGCGCUCCGCUGCCGUCGGGGCACGUGGGCGGGUGGAUUGCAGCGGCAGCCGCCCCUCUCCCCUGGUGCUGCCGACACCCCGCGGGCUGCCACCUCGCGCAGCCCCGAGGGGGAGCUCCCGGGCGGCGGACCGAGCCCGGAGAAGGGAGCCCGCCGAGGGCAGGACGCCCGACCUGGGUGGGGCUGGUGGAGCGCGCGGGAAGCUGGCCGGUGGCCGCUACCAACCUUCGCGCGGGAGGCCAGUGGGGCGGUGACUGACCGACCCCGUUCAUACCCCGGCAUCUUGGUAUCUACAAUGGCAAGAACUAGUACUACAAAGGUCCUAUAGGUAAACCUGAGGCUCAUCAACUCAUCUAGACUGGCUGACCGAUGAGCUGAUCUACCUGUAUGUAUCCCCCACCCACAAGACCUAGAGUUACAGACAUGAUGCGCAAGUCUGUGGAGCUUUUCAUGUGGGUUCUGGGUCCUAAUGUUUGUUUUGCAGGCACCAAACAGACUGAGCUCCUUCCCAUCCCAAUAAAUUGACUUUAAAUUGGCAAAAGACUUGCAAAGAUACUUCACAAAAUAAUGAUGUU